This 236-nucleotide long non-coding RNA is filed under the name Gallus gallus (chicken). The record is from RNAcentral. Lineage: Eukaryota; Metazoa; Chordata; Aves; Galliformes; Phasianidae.
UAACCUUUGGGUUGAGUCCUAAAUUGCUUCACCUCUUCAGCUUCUCCACUGCCUCCCCAUCACCGUGCUGACAGCCCUCGUGUAACAGCAGCAAACACAGCAGUGCACGUGUCUAGGCCCCGCUCACAGCUAACUGCAAGGAAGAAAAAAAACCAGGGGGAAGAAAAGAAAAGAAAAUUAACCUGGACGCUGCCUCUGUGUCCCUGCACAGCAAUGCUUUCCUUUGGAGGCCCCAC